GGAAUAUUGCACAAUGGGCGCAAGCCUGAUGCAGCCAUGCCGCGUGUAUGAAGAAGGCCUUCGGGUUGUAAAGUACUUUCAGCGAGGAGGAAGGCAUAAAGGCUAAUAACCUUUGUGAUUGACGUUACUCGCAGAAGAAGCACCGGCUAACUCCGUGCCAGCAGCCGCGGUAAUACGGGGGGUGCAAGCGUUAAUCGGAAUUACUGGGCGUAAAGCGCACGCAGGCGGUUUGUCAAGUCGGAUGUGAAAUCCCCGGGCUCAACCUGGGAACUGCAUUCGAAACGGGCAAGCUAGAGUCUUGUAGAGGGGGGUAGAAUUCCAGGUGUAGCGGUGAAAUGCGUAGAGAUCUGGAGGAAUACCGGUGGCGAAGGCGGCCCCCUGGACAAAGACUGACGCUCAGGUGCGAAAGCGUGGGGAGCAAACAGGAUUAGAUACCCUUG
Molecule: ribosomal RNA, 440 nt
Filed under: uncultured Buttiauxella sp.
Lineage: Bacteria; Pseudomonadati; Pseudomonadota; Gammaproteobacteria; Enterobacterales; Enterobacteriaceae
Description: bacterial SSU rRNA
Rfam family: Bacterial small subunit ribosomal RNA
Source: RNAcentral